AGCUUUGCCUAGAGGCCUGCAAACAGGACGCAUGGGGGCAUUCUGAUGUUGUGGAAUUAGAAGGUUGUACAAGUUUCUCAGAUAACUUUUGGUGACUUCUUCCUAUCGGCAAUGGUCAAUGUUCUGGAAGAUGAUAGUUCCUUCAAUAUAACAACCGUUUGUGGCCCGACCGACUACGCCCAGAAGGAUGAUUUCUUCAAUGAGCUCAAGGGCCAAAAACCACAAAAGGGAGUGAAGUGGCUUGUACUCGGAGAUUUUAACCAAAUAUAUAGAUCCCGAGACAAGAACAGAGGCAACAUCAAUAGUAGUAGACUGUUUCGAGAGGCCUUAAACGAUUGUGAGCUUAAAGAGAUCCACUUGCAGAACAGGUGGUUCGCUUGGUCGAACAAGCGCCUGAACCCAACUUUGAGCAAGCUGGAUGGCUUUUUAUGCAAUGAAGACUCAGAUAUCCACUUUAGCAUCCACAUCCUUCAUGCACUAUCAUCCUUGCCCUCGGAUCACUGUCCACUUCUUCUUGCCUCGGACCGAGGACCAAAGAGAGGCCGCCUUCUUUCAAGUUUGGAUUUCUUUUGGGUCAAGAUGUUGGGAUUCAAGGAAAUAGUGCAAAAGUCCUGGAACGAGGAAAUCACCCACCCCGAACCAUGUCAGAUUUUAUUCCACAAGUUGCAAAAAGUUGGACGCCACCUCAAGUCCUGGAGUAAAAGCAUGUUCUCGAGUGCUAAGUUACAUCUUCACGUGGCCCAUGAGGUGAUCCUACGCUUUGAUUUUGCCAUGGAGCAUAGCAUCCUACCUCAUGCUGAGGCUGACAUUCGAUACAGACUGAAAUGGAGGGUUGUUAGUCUAGCAGUGCUUGAGCGGACUAGGAAGAAACAAUGUUGUAGACUUCACAACCUCAGAGAGGGUGAUGAUGCUAGUAUUAAAUUCUUCCACCUAUGGGUCAAUGGCACGCGGCGGAAAAAUCACAUACACCGCCUUAUGCACAACAAUGGGAGGUCAAUUGGGCAUGAUGAAAAGGAAGAAAUCACAUGCAAUCACUUCGCCAACAUGAUGGGGAGACCACCGUGCCAAGAAAUUGACUUUAAUUGGCCAGACCUUGUGAAGGAAAUAUGCCCUAGAGGCAAUAAUAAAGAUAUUAUUUAUUUCCUUAUAUCAUGA
Molecule: ribosomal RNA, 1155 nt
Filed under: Triticum aestivum (bread wheat)
Lineage: Eukaryota; Viridiplantae; Streptophyta; Magnoliopsida; Poales; Poaceae
Description: partial small subunit ribosomal RNA
Source: RNAcentral